Molecule: ribosomal RNA, 640 nt
Filed under: Pseudomonas sp.
Lineage: Bacteria; Pseudomonadati; Pseudomonadota; Gammaproteobacteria; Pseudomonadales; Pseudomonadaceae
Description: bacterial SSU rRNA
Rfam family: Bacterial small subunit ribosomal RNA
Source: RNAcentral
CAUGCAGUCGAGCGGAUGACAGGAGCUUGCUCCUGAAUUCAGCGGCGGACGGGUGAGUAAUGCCUAGGAAUCUGCCUGGUAGUGGGGGACAACGUUUCGAAAGGAACGCUAAUACCGCAUACGUCCUACGGGAGAAAGCAGGGGACCUUCGGGCCUUGCGCUAUCAGAUGAGCCUAGGUCGGAUUAGCUAGUUGGUGAGGUAAUGGCUCACCAAGGCGACGAUCCGUAACUGGUCUGAGAGGAUGAUCAGUCACACUGGAACUGAGACACGGUCCAGACUCCUACGGGAGGCAGCAGUGGGGAAUAUUGGACAAUGGGCGAAAGCCUGAUCCAGCCAUGCCGCGUGUGUGAAGAAGGUCUUCGGAUUGUAAAGCACUUUAAGUUGGGAGGAAGGGCAUUAACCUAAUACGUUAGUGUUUUGACGUUACCGACAGAAUAAGCACCGGCUAACUCUGUGCCAGCAGCCGCGGUAAUACAGAGGGUGCAAGCGUUAAUCGGAAUUACUGGGCGUAAAGCGCGCGUAGGUGGUUUGUUAAGUUGGAUGUGAAAGCCCCGGGCUCAACCUGGGAACUGCAUUCAAAACUGACAAGCUAGAGUAUGGUAGAGGGUGGUGGGAAUUUCCUGUGUAGCGUGAAAUGCG